GCAAUCUCAGGGAUUUGUCACUUCUCAUAAUCUUGCUGCUGUUACCUCCACGGGCCUGGCUAGCACGCUUAUGUGGUGGUGGUGUUUUCCCACUUCUUAUCAAAGUAUCUUCUCUGAAAUCUGAUCACAAUUACCAGCGUCCCUUUCACUUGCAAUUGUUGUGCACCAAGGUAUAUAGGACGCUAUGUUUAAGUUGUAUGGAAUGCAAUACUUGAUGCAAAGCGAAGGGGAAAGAAUAAACUGUCUCUUUGUGCAG
Molecule: long non-coding RNA, 256 nt
Filed under: Elaeis guineensis (African oil palm)
Lineage: Eukaryota; Viridiplantae; Streptophyta; Magnoliopsida; Arecales; Arecaceae
Description: long non-coding RNA (EGUI_LNC019378)
Source: RNAcentral